This is a non-coding RNA of Cathartes aura (turkey vulture), 89 nucleotides long. The record is from Rfam. Lineage: Eukaryota; Metazoa; Chordata; Aves; Accipitriformes; Cathartidae.
CUCAUAUUCCAUCAACCUUCCAGAGAGGCUUUUUCAAUCACAGGAGUAAGCCGUUCUCCAAAAUCAGCUCUCUAUUGAAAGGUCGAAAC